RNAcentral lists this ribosomal RNA (478 nucleotides) under uncultured bacterium. RNAcentral describes it as "partial 16S ribosomal RNA". It matches the Rfam family "Bacterial small subunit ribosomal RNA", at positions 28 to 523 of the family's 1533-position model. The record is from RNAcentral.
GACGAACGCUGGCGGCGUGCUUAACACAUGCAAGUCGAACGGUAAGGCCCUUCGGGGUACACGAGUGGCGAACGGGUGAGUAACACGUGGGUGAUCUGCCCUGCACUUCGGGAUAAGCCUGGGAAACUGGGUCUAAUACCGGAUAGGACCACUGCGUGCAUGGGUGGUGGUGGAAAGCUGUUGCGGUGUGGGAUGGGCCCGGGGCCUAUCAGCUUGUUGGUGGGGUGAGGGCCUACCAAGGCGACGACGGGUAGCCGGCCUGAGAGGGUGACCGGCCACACUGGGACUGAGAUACGGCCCAGACUCCUACGGGAGGCAGCAGUGGGGAAUAUUGCACAAUGGGCGCAAGCCUGAUGCAGCGACGCCGCGUGAGGGAUGACGGCCUUCGGGUUGUAAACCUCUUUCAGCACCGACGAAGCGCAAGUGACGGUAGGUGCAGAAGAAGGACCGGCCAACUACGUGCCAGCCGCCGCCGUAA